AGAGCGAACGCUGGCGGCAGGCCUAAUACAUGCAAGUCGAACGGAUCCUUCGGGAUUAGUGGCGGACGGGUGAGUAACACGUGGGAACGUGCCCUUUGGUUCGGAACAACUCAGGGAAACUUGAGCUAAUACCGAAUGUGCCCUUCGGGGGAAAGAUUUAUCGCCAUUGGAGCGGCCCGCGUCUGAUUAGCUAGUUGGUGGGGUAAAGGCCCACCAAGGCGACGAUCAGUAGCUGGUCUGAGAGGAUGAUCAGCCACACUGGGACUGAGACACGGCCCAGACUCCUACGGGAGGCAGCAGUAGGGAAUCUUGCGCAAUGGGCGAAAGCCUGACGCAGCCAUGCCGCGUGAAUGAUGAAGGUCUUAGGAUUGUAAAAUUCUUUCAGCGGGGACGAUAAUGACGGUACCCGCAGAAGAACGCCCGGCUAACUUCGCGCCAGCAGCCGC
This 446-nucleotide ribosomal RNA is filed under the name uncultured bacterium. RNAcentral's name for it is "SSU rRNA". It matches the Rfam family "Bacterial small subunit ribosomal RNA", at positions 26 to 518 of the family's 1533-position model. The record is from RNAcentral.